CAUCCUCCAAGGCUAAAUACUCCUGACUGACCGAUAGUGAACCAGUACCGUGAGGGAAAGGCGAAAAGAACCCCGGCGAGGGGAGUGAAAAAGAACCUGAAACCGUGUACGUACAAGCAGUGGGAGCCCCACCACCAAAGCAUUUGCUGUACCGCGUUGACGGAGCGAAGCGACGUCAAACCGAUAAAACAGCAGUGUAAAGUGAGCCGCAGGGCGCUUUGCGCGACAGCGCAAAGGCAGGCGGUUUCGCGUAGCGAAAGCGAAUGCUUUGGGGUGGGGUGACUGCGUACCUUUUGUAUAAUGGGUCAGCGACUUAUAUUCUGUAGCAAGGUUAACCGAAUAGGGGAGCCGGAGGGAAACCGAGUCUUAAUUGGGCGUUAAGUUGCAGGGUAUAGACCCGAAACC
RNAcentral lists this ribosomal RNA (405 nucleotides) under Salmonella enterica subsp. enterica serovar Infantis. Its description in RNAcentral is "partial 23S ribosomal RNA". It matches the Rfam family "Bacterial large subunit ribosomal RNA", at positions 454 to 722 of the family's 2925-position model. The record is from RNAcentral. RNAcentral also lists the same sequence under 3 other names. Lineage: Bacteria; Pseudomonadati; Pseudomonadota; Gammaproteobacteria; Enterobacterales; Enterobacteriaceae.